CGUCCAAUCACGUGUGAGGUCAUAGGCAUGACUGAUACAGCAGUACUUGCAAGACGAGCAUACAAACAGACACGUGUGUUACUAUAUUCAGAAGAACUGUAUCUCCAGUUCCUUUGUUUGGUUUUUGCUGGUUCGUGAAUAAUGGCUGGACGACGUCUCGCGUUCAACUCGCCUUCAACUCCUCUCCGCGGUCACCAACUUUCGGCCAGUCCGCAAACAGACGAGAAGAAGCUGCUGAAAGCUCUCAGUGGAUCGUCUCGUCAACUCCAACAACAAACUGCCGAUAUCAACGAGCGGUUCGCUCCACUGGAGCGUUCGGGACUCUGCGGGUUUCUGUCCAUGGAGGAGAGGAACCGACUCAAAGAAGAGGAGACGGGCGCACAAUCCCACGAUAGCGGAAGCGGUGCGCCGUCUUCUCAACUCCGAGACGAACUACAGGCGCCACGAACCAGAGCAAGGGUCAGAUUUAAAGAAUAUGCUUUCAUUCUGCGCUAUAAGGGAAUAUAUACGUAUAGAUACCGAUCAUAACUGUACAUUUUGUUUUCACAGACUAAUCUCGCCUCAUAAUGAGGCGGUGACCUCGUAUUUGCUCCGGGAAAAGUCCAGAUUUAGACGACGUCAUUGUGUCCGCCUGUGAGACGUAUUUUGAGACGGGACGCAGGAGCUUCAGGUUCAUGCGGAACACUCAUUGCGAGCGGAAGCUGCGAAGGAUUCAGCGCGGAGUCGAGCGAGAAGAAAGAGGCUGCUGGAAUCGAGACAAAGUGUGCUGGCUGAUGACGAGGUGGAAAUCCGCCACCGUGGAGCUCACGUCGGACGGAGGGGACGGCGUUGUUGGCG
Long non-coding RNA from Gasterosteus aculeatus aculeatus (three-spined stickleback), 837 nucleotides. Lineage: Eukaryota; Metazoa; Chordata; Actinopteri; Perciformes; Gasterosteidae. The record is from Ensembl.